GCCGCGGAUUCGCUAGGAUUGGGCCGCACAAGUAGGUGGAGCAUGUGGGUGAAUUCGAUGAUACGCGAGGAACCUUACCUAGGCUAGAAAUGCGCGUGACCGGCUCAGAGAUGAGCCUUUCCUUCGGGACGCAAAGCAAGGUGCUGCAUGACCGUCAUCAACUCGAGCCAUGAGGUGUUGGGUUAAGUCCCGCAACGAGCGCAGGCCCUAUGUUUAGUUGGCAGCAUGUAAUAAUGGGGACUCUAGACAGACUGCCUGCGCAAGCAGUGAGGAAGGCGGGGACGACGUCAGGUCAUCAUGGCCCUUACGCCUAGGGCGACACACGUGCUACAAUGGACGGUACAGCGGGUAGCUGCACAGCGAUGUGAUGCCAAUCUCGAAAAGCCGUUCUCAGUUCGGAUUGGAGUCUGCAACUCGACUCCAUGAAGCUGGAAUCACUAGUAAUCGCGCAUCAGCCAUGGCGCGGUGAAUACGUUCCCGGGCCUUGUACACACCGCCCGUCAAGCCAUGAAAGUCUGGUAGACCUGAAGCUGGUGCUCCGCAACGAAGCCAGUUAGGGUAGAACAGGUAAUUAGGGCUAAGUCGUAACAAGGUAGCCGUACCGGAAGGUGCGGCUGGAUCACCUCCUU
Molecule: ribosomal RNA, 629 nt
Filed under: uncultured bacterium
Lineage: Bacteria
Description: bacterial SSU rRNA
Rfam family: Bacterial small subunit ribosomal RNA
Source: RNAcentral